Molecule: long non-coding RNA, 302 nt
Organism: Lycium ferocissimum
Lineage: Eukaryota; Viridiplantae; Streptophyta; Magnoliopsida; Solanales; Solanaceae
Exons: 2
Source: RefSeq, a predicted model, not a curated record
AGACCCCACAUUGUGGGAUUUCACUGGGUAUGUUUUUGGUGUAGUUGUUGUAUUAUAAUUUAUACGUGACUUGUUAAGAACCAAAACUAUCAUCUGAAUGUUUUUGCUAGCAUAAAAGUAGCUGAUUUUGUUCAAUGAAAAAAAGACUUCUUUGGUGGGACUCCUCUAGUAGUAGCUACCUGCCAUGGGCUGUAUAGCUAUAGCAAUUACUUUUGUCCCUUGAGGAGUCCUCUCUGCCGUUAAUGUAAAUUACCUAGUAAAUGUUAAGUCAUGUAUUUGUAACAAAAAUGAUACUCCCUUUG